CCUACGGGAGGCAGCAGUGGGGAAUAUUGCACAAUGGGGGAAACCCUGAUGCAGCGACGCCGCGUGAGUGAAGAAGUAUUUCGGUAUGUAAAGCUCUAUCAGCAGGGAAGAAAAUGACGGUACCUGAAGAAGAAGCCCCGGCUAACUACGUGCCAGCAGCCGCGGUAAUACGUAGGGGGCAAGCGUUAUCCGGAUUUACUGGGUGUAAAGGGGGCGCAGACGGCGAUGCAAGCCAGGAGUGAAAGCCCGGGGCUCAACCCCGGGACUGCUCUUGGAACUGCGUGGCUAGAGUGCAGGAGGGGCAG
RNAcentral lists this ribosomal RNA (305 nucleotides) under uncultured bacterium. Its description in RNAcentral is "bacterial SSU rRNA". It matches the Rfam family "Bacterial small subunit ribosomal RNA", at positions 338 to 660 of the family's 1533-position model. The record is from RNAcentral.